RNAcentral lists this non-coding RNA (31 nucleotides) under Mus musculus (house mouse). Lineage: Eukaryota; Metazoa; Chordata; Mammalia; Rodentia; Muridae. The record is from RNAcentral.
UGUGCCACUUUUUUGAGGCCUUGUCCACAGU